UGGAAAAUUAGAUUUGGGGGAUUAAAUAGGCCAAAAAUGUGUGAAAUUUAUGAUUAGAGUUUUUUAUUCACUUACAAAUGUUCCAAUUUCAAUUUGAUUGUAAUUUAAAUUGAGAUUUCGGUGUUGGUUUUGGGAAUAAAAUAACCCAAAAACGUGUAUUGGAAAUGAGAUUUGGGUGAUUAAAAUCCAGUGAGUUUUUUUUAUAUUGUUAAGCUCCCAUGGUCCCAAAUCUACCAAAAAUGAUUUUAUUUUUUUAUUUGUCUUUUUUUUAUUUAUUUUUCCUGAUUAAGCUCAAAGAAGAUUAAUCUUAAAUCUACAGAGAGCAUUUAUAUUUGAUUUUUUUUUGUUUUUUUUUCUUUUUCCUGAUUAUGCUCAAACGAGAAAACCCCCAAAUGCACCGCAAUAAUAUGUAUUAGCUUCUUAGAAUAUGUUUUUUUUCCUUAACAUUUAUAUUUGAUUUUCAUUUUUUUUUCGUUCUUGGUUAUGCUCAAAUGAGAAAACCCCCAAAUGCACAACAAGAGUAUUUAUUUGUUUCUUUAGGUUCUGAUUUUUUUUUCCUGGUUUAAUUUUUUUCUUGCUGGUUGCAUGCUUUUUUCUUCUUUUUUUUUGUUUUUUGCUAUGUAUCAUGAAUGUUUUUUGGGUGGUUUUUUGGGGUGUUAACCCUGGUUCAUUGCUACUUUUUUUUUUCUUAUUGGUUAUAUGUAAGAGAAGUGAGAAAUGAAGGCAUUUAUUUUCUUCAUUGUGGGUCUCUUAACUCUUUUGCACCCAUCAUUUUCUAACUUCUUAUAGAAGCAUAAUGUCUCCCUCAUGUCAAACUAGUAGAGUAGUUCAUACUACUUACCCAAACUAGUGGCGCAGUUAAUAGAUUUUUUUUUUUUUCAUAUAUGAAUUUGUUUGUAUCAACUGUAGUUCUACUGUGAUUCUGCCAAUUGUUCGAGUUUGGUUCUGAGUCCAAGGCACAAACCUUGUACUUAUUGAUCAUAUUCUAUGCCACUCGAAGUCCAAUUGUGCUAACUAGUCAGUAGAACCAUUUGAUAGCGUGAGGACAAUGUUCCUUCGCAUUUAGGAAAAUGUAUCAUGUUGGUUAUAUCCUUUUUGGAAGGAAAUUACUGCUAAUAGGAUUAAUAUCUUGGAACAUGUAAGACAGUUUCUUGUAAAUAAUGUGUUGAUCUGUAUGCCAUUUGGAUGUUAUUCUAUUACGAAAGAUGACUGUGAAUAAUGUGUUGAUCUAUAAUGGAUUUUUUGCAUUGGUUAUUAUAUUUCUCUAUCUUCUUAUGGCAUCUUUUGAUUUUUUGAAUUGAUUUUUUUUUUAAGUGGUUGAAGUGAUGCUUGCAAAAUUGUGAUGUCUUCUUGGGAUUGUUUAUGUAAGUAUUGUGUGUGUGAGUCUUGUAUAUCAAAAGUAAUGAAAGUUAACAUUCUUCAAAAAAGAAGCCUUUUGAUGACUGAAUUUUGGAUGUUAAGCUGCUGGUGUUUUCAUAAAACUCACAUGCUGAAUUUAGAUAAACAUUCAACAAAAUGGCCAUGUUUCAGCCAUCUAUCCUUAGUACACCUUGUCUAUUAGUGCAUCGACGAUCCUUACUAAUAUUAAUAUUUGGAUGUCUACAAAAUGAGCCAUAACAAUGUGUCUUUCUGUAAUAUGAGAGAUGUCUGUUAAAUAAUGUGCUGAUUUGUAAUGGAUUUUUUGUAUUGGUUAUUAUAUUUUUCUAUCUUCUUAAUCGCAUCUUUUGAUAUUUUUUUUUUAACUGGUUGAAAUGAUUAAUGGUCAGUGACAAAGUAUUUUGUAGAAUGGUUUACCAUAGAAUUUGGGAUAUUCAAUCUACAUGUUCCUCUUAAUUUAUAAUAUAUGAUGCAGUAAAUUAAUAUUUGAUAUUAACAAAUGAAGCAGAUCUUACCUCAUGCCCAACUUCUCAUUCUUUUUAUCUCUACAAAUUUCCAUGUUUGGUUGGUUGCAUGCUCUAUGUGUUUCAUUGAGGCAUUCUUUUUAUAUAUUGUGAUGAUUUUGAGUUAAGGUGAAAUUGGUGCACAUAAGUGUGCAUGUCAUUUACAUUAGUAUGCAUGUUACCAACACAUCAUAACAUGCAUUUUAGAGCCAUUUGUUGUGGUGCACAAAAUUCUUUUCUUUCUCCUGAAAGCCUUCAAGAUGUUGCAUGUAUUUCUUCAUCUGGAUUUCCAUGCAUAAAGGUUAUUUUCAUAUCUAAUUGUUCUAAAUGGUCAGGUAAAGCAUUAGUUGUAAUAACAAACCAAAUAUAUAUUGUGAUGUGUAUGUCAUUUACUUUCGUAUGCAUAUUACCAACACAUCAUGACAUGUAUUUCAAAGCCUAUGGCACAUGAAGUUGACUUGUUGUACAUGAAAGAUGAUCAUGUUUGGAGAUUAGCUGUUUCUGGGUUGGAGAGGAAUAAAAUUUAUAUUGAUGAGGCUUUUAGCAUCAUCCAACAUUGGCCCCUUACAAAUGAACAAGUGGAUUUUGUUAGAAGCACGGGCUAUGGCCUCUUGUUCAGUACGCUAACAUGGAGGGGGCCCCGCGACAGAUUGAUCACGAUCUUACGGAGGCAGUGACAGAGAGAUGGCGGCCAGAGACGAAUUCACUGCACUGUCCACGAAGAGUUGGUGAGAUGAUGCCAACCUUAUAUGAUGUGUGGUGUAUUUUCCGGCUUAGAGUCACAGGUGAGCUGGUAUUGACAAUGAUAUGCAAACCAUAGGGGCAAUACUUGUUACAAUGGUUAGGAUGUGUCCCAAGAAGCGAUUUUAAAAUUCACCAUUCAUUGAACUUCACUUGGUUGAGAGAGACUUUUGGGAAUCUACCAGAAAAUCCUACACUACAACAAAUAUAACAACACACUAGGCCAUUUUUGCUAUAUGUAGUAGGCAGCACCGGUUUUCUACAGUCAAAUAAAGGUAAUGAAGUCUCUAUUACGUAUUUGACCUUGUUAGAGGAUUUUGAUGUUGCGGGCAGGUACGCAUGGGGGGUUCGACCCUAGCGUAGCUUUUUAGGGGCCUCAAGAAGUUUGUUACUGUUAAAAUUAAGAAGGGGAGGCAAAAUGUAUUGAAUGAUGUUCAGGCGGCACCCGGUUCUCACCUCACUAGGUGUGCGACAUUAUUUCAAGUAAAAUUAUUUUGUUGUGCUACUUAUUCUUUAUUUGUAUGUCUUAAAGGGUUAUGUUUUGUGAAUUUCAUACAUUUUUUUCAGCUAUAUUUAUACAUUUCAUACAUGCUAACGUAAUUAUUGUAUGUAUGUUGGUUAGUCAUUGGUAUUCGAACAUUUCAAAACAUUGCAGCCUGAGGGAGGCAGUCGACGGGUUGAAGCUGGUAUACCAAGCGCGGAAAGAUGGGUACACCCAGGCACAUGGGAUAACCUAGUUGGGAAUGUAGUAUAGAAAUUAGAUCUCUUUGAACCUGAUAGGGUAUUAGAACCCAUAAGUAGAUCAGAAAGACUGGUGCUGAGGAGGUCCAUCAAAGGGUUCUAGAUCGAGAGGCAUUGGAGACCGCUCUUUGCAAGACAUAUUUGAUAUUCGACAACAUCGCGGAGCGGUACCUCCCAGACCAGGUACUGAGACAAUUUGAACUGAGACAGGCCAUCCCAGCAAAUCAUAUAGAUGGAAAAGAUUUGACAGGUGGGGUAAAAAUGAAAAAAACUGGGAGCAAAAACUCGCCUCUCAAAUCAAAGAUUGGCACGACCGCCUUCAGUAUCGUCAAAUAGGCGAGCAAGACCUGAGUCGUGGUCUACCUUCGAAUGAGUAUGAAGCAUGGUAUGUGCAUGUUUCAAUCCCCAUAAUUCAUAACCCACAGAACCUCGGACGGAUGCAUAUGCACCUCUAGGCUAUGGUGACCACAUGUUGUCCAAAGCAGACCAUUUGACUGGAAUUGUUGACAAUGGGCUGACGGCUCAAGACCCCAAGACAAAAGAUCGAUAUUUUAGGGAGCUAAGGUGAGAGCAGUUAUUGUGUAAAGGCGAGUUGGUUGAGGAAGAACAAGAAUCCAGUGAUGACUCUAAGCAAGAGCCUGUGUUAACUGCUGACCCACAGCUGCAAAUGCACCGUGGAAGAGCUCCAAGAGGAAGAUCCGCACAGACUUAGGAGCCCAGGACUGCUGAGAGAGCGGAUCCCAAUUCAACAGCCUUUGGGAAGAGGCCAAAAGUACUUGCCCCCAGACGAGGAAGAGGACAUUGAUUUUAUAUUGUAUAAUUUCGAUGUAAUACUUUUGAUAAAAAUGUAAGUUAGAAAACCCUUUUGGGUUAAAUUUUAUAUGUAAAUUUGAUAAGGCGUUUGUCAA
Amborella trichopoda is the source of this 4270-nucleotide non-coding RNA. NCBI's taxonomy places the organism in Eukaryota, Viridiplantae, Streptophyta, Magnoliopsida, Amborellales, Amborellaceae. The record is from RefSeq and is a predicted model, not a curated record.